Molecule: long non-coding RNA, 1764 nt
Organism: Drosophila montana
Lineage: Eukaryota; Metazoa; Arthropoda; Insecta; Diptera; Drosophilidae
Exons: 2
Source: RefSeq, a predicted model, not a curated record
CCGACCCGUCGUAAGCUACGGACUGAUGGGAACACGGAAUUUAUUCGGCCGGAAUGAGUUCCUCCUGUCGACGUAAAGAGCUUUAGCGAUUCUUUUUCUGAGUUUGCACAAACAACGUACGACCUUCAGCCCAUUGGCAAGGUGUUUCCUGGAUGGAAUUCUUUCCGAAUGGCCUCCAAGUACAUUCGAGAAUCUGACCUGGAACCAAUUGCUUGGAACUGACGAAAGCCCAGCAAACAGACGGAGCAACCAGCAGAUGUGCUGAGCUGUUCUAAAUAGUUUCAAGAAGGAAUUUUUAAUUGUCUGGCUCUUUAAGGUCUGGUGACGCAUUCAUGUACCAAGCCAUUUUCAUGACUUCCGGCGGAAUAGUGAAAUAGCCCAGGCUAGGAAAAACUGGCUUCGAAUCAGACGCGUCCACCAAAGGCCAUAGAUAUAACGUACGAUGAAAAGAUGGUACCCAAAUUCCAAGUUAAACAUCUUAUUCGGGUCGUUGCGAUGAACGGGCAGACCGACAGACAUGGUCCAGAUUGUAUUUUGCCUUUUAAAUGUGCCCCAUAUACAUACAUACAUAGAAAGUCAAUUGAAGAAUUCAAUUGCAGUGUCUACGUUGGCGCACAAAUUUCGCAUUCCAGCGUUUGGGUCAUAUCUCUAGAGGAUUGUCUGCCCUAUGCAUAAACAUACGCGCACACACACACACACACACACCCGCACACACACAAAGAGUGAAAACAGGAAGCUCGGCCAGUGGCUAAUGGCCAAUGGCAUUUUUAUGCAUGUGUUUAUUUUUGUUGAAAUGCAUUCGUCGUCAUUGCUAAAUCAAGACACAGUCAAAAAGUCCACACACAAAAUAUGAUGAUAAAAAAAUGUAUACAUAUGACACGAACCAAGCGGCGCGAUCAAUCGAUUUCGAUGCUUUAUCCCGUCGAGGCAACCAUUAAGAUCGCCAAAUGCGCUGUAAGAAACAAGUAAGAGAGCAAUAGUCGAGAGUACCCAACUAGAGGAUAAACUGAACCCAGCGUCGUUCCUAAAGCAACCGCAGUUUAUGCAGCGACUGUGCUUCUUCUUCCCUUCUUCCCAGACAAUGUAUGGGAAAUGCAUUCUUGAUUAACUUGGGUGUUUGUUGUCCCAUCUUUGUGAAAUUUUCAGGAUAUGAAUUUAACAUCAUAAUGUGUUUACAUACUUAAGAACAACCUGUAUCUUUAACAAUACUUUUUUGGAUAUUAAUCUGGAUUUAGAUGUAAAGGAGUCUAUAUACCCAUUUUGGUGUCUCGAGACCAGUUAUCGACGACCUACAUUCAAAAUAUCAAGUCUCUUGCUCUGACAGUCAGACUGACAUGGCUACAUUGACCCGACUGUUUAUACUGAACAAAAAUAUAUAUACAUAUCUAUACAUUAGCAGGUCUAAAUGUCGCCUCCCCAAUCAAAUCUUAAAACCUAAUGUAACGAAACAAAAAACAGAUUUCAAUAAUCGAAACGUAUAUUAGAAACAUUUUUGUGAGGCUGUCUCCUAUAGAAUAUCAAUAUGAAUCGACCAGUUAAAAGAAGACUUGUGAAUAUAAAUGAGGUAUCGAUAUGGCCCCAAAACAAUGCGUAGACAAAAAAUUACAAAAAGGAUUGAUGAUUGACAUCGAGUUGAAUAAACGAGUACUGUAUGUCAAAGUGAACCGAAUUAUGGAAGCCGAAAGUGUUAACUAAGAUAUAAAACAUGUAUCGAAUAGUUAAUUGAUAGAUAAAGACAGAUUAUAUUGCUAAUUAAAACAUCAA